This 253-nucleotide ribosomal RNA is filed under the name uncultured bacterium. RNAcentral describes it as "partial 16S ribosomal RNA". It matches the Rfam family "Bacterial small subunit ribosomal RNA", at positions 524 to 776 of the family's 1533-position model. The record is from RNAcentral.
UACGUAGGGUGCGAGCGUUAGUCGGAAUUACUGGGCGUAAAGCGUGCGCAGGCGGCUUUGCAAGUCAGACGUGAAAGCCCCGGGCUUAACCUGGGAAUGGCGUUUGAAACUACGGAGCUGGAGUAUGGCAGAGGGGGGUGGAAUUCCACGUGUAGCGGUGAAAUGCGUAGAUAUGUGGAGGAACACCGAUGGCGAAGGCAGCCCCCUGGGCCAAUACUGACGCUCAUGCACGAAAGCGUGGGGAGCAAACAGG